UCCCGGUUGGCCCGGGCAGUCUCGCCUGAAAAAUACAACAGACGACAAGGGUUGCGCUCGUUGCGGGACUUAACCCAACAUCUCACGACACGAGCUGACGACGGCCAUGCAGCACCUGUCACUAGGCUCCCGAAGGCACCCCUCUGUUUCCAGAGGGUUCCUAGGAUGUCAAGCCUUGGUAAGGUUCUUCGCGUAGCGUCGAAUUAAACCACAUCAUCCACCGCUUGUGCGGGUCCCCGUCAAUUCCUUUGAGUUUUAAGCUUGCGCUCGUACUCCCCAGGCGGCACACUUAACGCGUUAGCUUCUCAGCCCAGGGGGUCGAUACCCCAGACUAAUAGUGUGCAUCGUUUACGGCGUGGACUAC
RNAcentral lists this unclassified non-coding RNA (364 nucleotides) under uncultured bacterium. Its description in RNAcentral is "contains 16S-23S intergenic spacer region". The record is from RNAcentral.